This is a long non-coding RNA of Pipra filicauda (Wire-tailed manakin), 11819 nucleotides long. RefSeq lists it as uncharacterized. Lineage: Eukaryota; Metazoa; Chordata; Aves; Passeriformes; Pipridae. The transcript has 3 exons. The record is from RefSeq and is a predicted model, not a curated record.
UAAGACGAGCUGGAAACUCCUUUUAUUUUCUUCUGCCUCUCUAGAACUCCAGAAAUGUUGGUUCUCUCGGCGUUUUUUCACUUGUUGGUGCAGCGUUAUUGAGUUUUUAGCAAAUCCAGCAGACCAGUAGUGCUUGUGUGACUUUAUUAGCCUUCCAGCUAAUGUGUAACAUCCCCAAAAACAUAUCAGUGUUAUUGCCUCCAUGGUCAGCAGUCAGGAAUCUCCAAAGGUAAAAACAUCCUGUGUUGUAUCUGUUCCCUUUCCAUUAGUCUCUGGCUCAGUGAAUUCCACAGUGGGAGUUAAACCCGAUGGUGCUGAUGCUUCUGGAUAAAGGGGUUUUGUGAAAGUACCUAAAUCUCCCCAGCCCUCAGGAGAGCUGUUCUUAGGGAUACCCACAAGUGAUUACACUCAGCUAAAAUGGUGAUUCCUGAGGGUUUUUCCCUAGGUUUGUACAGUUAUAUUGGGGGUUUCAAAGGUUGAUGCUUCUGGGUGCCUCCAAUAGAGCUGGUUUCGUUCUCCCUCCCAGAAGGUCGGGUUCAGGAGCUGUGGGACAAAAGACCCCCCUGUCUAAAAUGCAGGGAAUAUACCAGCUGUGCCUAAAUGCUGUUGAAAUCUAUGUGUUUAUUUGCCUUAAUAUUUGUGACCUAAAAAACCCUCCAGAACUCUGGGGUUUUAUCUCAUGAAGUUGGAACACAAAAGUGAACAUCUUAAUGUUGGGAGUGUUCCGGGUUCAGGUCCCUUGGCAGCCUGAAAGUGGUGACCAGAAGACCUGAUCAGGGUCCAGAACCUGAACCUUAGAUCUUUUGACUCUGUAUAUGACUAAUUCUGGCAAGAGUUUUCGAGUUCCCAGAAAUAAGAGGCACUGUCUGCCUGUGGGUAAACUUUCUAAGCUAGUGAAUAAAAGUAAAGAGUUGUCACUGGCUUAAUUUCAUUAGGCUAACCUAAAAGUGUGAACAUGAUAAUGAUAUUUCAAGGUAUCUAAGUAACCCAGAAAAACCUUGUGGGUUUUUUUUUUUCCUGGUAAAAUGGCACUUAAAAACUUGAAUAUCUGCAGAUCCUUGGUUACUGAAUGCAAAGAGAAGCUGGAGGGUUCUCGAGCAUUACACAGGGCUCACUUCUUAUCCAAAAAGUGGAUUACUGGGGUUUUAUUUCGUCUUGUUUUCAAAGAGGUUAUAGAUGUCACUGCCAUGGUUUAUAACUCUGCAGUUCCUUAGGACAAGGAAAGUUUCUGGGCUAACACAACCCUGCUUCUGUGUUUCAUGCAUUAAGGACAGGCAGGUAGUUAAAAACAAGGAAUCUUUUUGGCAUGUUUUAGGCAGUACCUUAUUUCCUCCCCCCCCAUAAAUCUUUUUGCAGAUGGAAGUGUGCAAAUUUUCAGCUGUAAAUCCACGAGCUGCAUUGACUCCCAUCCAGAGCAGAGCUGUUCCAUAAGGGUUGGUUUUGUUACCCUGUUUGGUGCUUCUCUGGGAGCACCUUUACGAAGGACUGGUAAUAAUCCCAAAUAAGAACAGUCUCUUCUUGUUUUGGUGGGAGCAUUUUAGAUUUGCUUUGCACAACUAUAAGCUUCAAAAAUAGUGCUGGUUUGUCCUAAUGCAGUUUGUGGCCAUUAAACAUAACUUCAUGCUAAGUAUGUAGAUGGUAUGAUAUGUAAAUUAAAUGAUCUAUCUUGCCCCAAAGAACAAUAAUUAAAGAGGAGAAUGGUCAGUGGGAAACAUAAUUCAAUGUGCAUAUUUUUCUUCUGAACAAAAUAGCAUUCCAGCUCUCCCCCUGAUGAGAGGAAUGUAUUGUCAAUUAAUUAGACUCCCAUCAUAUGUCCUCGGAUGCCCUUCUAUCAUAUGCCUUCCAUAUGUCCUUAUGUCAUAUGCCUUCCAUAUGCCCUCUGUGUAAUUAAGCUCCUAUCAUAUGGCUUCUAUCAUAUGCCAUUUAAGUGGAUUUCCAGGAGAAUGUGGCAGUGUUACAGUUAUGGACCUUUUGCAACGAGGAAAGGAACAACUCAUGAGCUGUAAAUUGGAAGAGGAGGAAGCAAAAGGAAGGUGGCUCGCCCUGAACAGUGUCUUUAAUUGCCAGUUUUGUUUCUCUCAGCUCGAGCGGUGAAUGGGAAAAAGUGUCCUGUUUUCCUCCUUUUCCAUUUCUGUGCCAUGCCCAGCUUUUAUCCAGUUGAGCCUGUGAAUAGCCAGAGAGAUAGCGACUGUUUUUCAGGGAACAUUUCCACUGGAACGUGAAAUGCAAAAGAAACAAUCCCCCUCCCAGAAAAGUGUUUGUCCUGCGAUAGCAAAAUGUGUAAACUUGGGUCUUGUUUCUGUCCCUUCACAUGAAGUGGAGUUUAAGAGCAGCGUGGAGAGGGAAUUAAUGAGAAGGGGAUGGUACAAUUCCCUUCAGCACACAUCCCUGUUCUCCCUCAUGGACCAGGGGUGUGGAGAGCACUGUGCUUUUCUUGGCAUAGGAAUUGCUUGGGAGAUGGGGUUCUGAUGUACAGGCAGAGGCAGUGAGAUGGAGUCCAAAUUUACUGUGACUUAUUAAGGAUAAAGACAAAAACCAGGCACUGAUGUUUAUAUACAUAAUGAAGAAAACUGGAGACAUCCAAGGAAUGAUGAGAUCUUGGAGUGGUUUCCAAGGCAAGGGCAGAUAAUGUGCUCGAUUGCCUUAUGAACAGUUGUGUGUCUGUGCAUCCUCUCAUCCCAACAACUGCUGAGACUCUUUUCUAAUCCCAGUCAGAUUUGGUGGAAGAGCUGUGACUUCCAAGACUGUUCUGCUCCAUCCAGCUUUACAGGAACUCCAGAAAUCCCAGCAGUCAGGAAGGAGGUUGAAAGGACAAGGAGAAGGUAAAACAGUCACAUGUGCUGAGGUCUCCAAACCAUAAAAUGCAGAGCAGUUUGUAGCAUAUCCCAGUUUACCUGGAUGGAAUGAGAACAGUUCGGAUUCCCCCUGGCUGGUAACCAGUUUGUCCCUAAAGAUUUUAUAUUCCAGCUGUUAGAGAAGUCUAAACCCCACAGCAUCAUGAUUUCACUGCUAUUCUGAUGUGCUCUGCCUGGAUUCAGUCAGUAUUGACCAAAAAAAGGUCCUAUAUUGGCUGUGCAGGCAUUGUGCUACCCACUGUUUGGGAUGGAGGUGCAUUCCUGAGGGACAGCUGACAGGUCUUACUUUAAUUUUCAGCUUUCAUUUUCAACUCAAUCCUCAUUUAAAUCACACACACACACACAAAAUACAGCCAGUCCAUCUGAAAGCUCUGUGUCAUUAGGGAAAUUAUUCGGGAAAAAUUCAUGUUGUGGUCCUGCCCCAUCAUUAGUUUGCUGGUGCCACAGUUGUAAACUGCAAAUUAAGGGAAGCCUUUAAGCCUCUUGUAGUGUACCACUGAAAUUAUCUGCCAGGAAUUAUUACCAAAGUGCUCUAUUCCAAAAUACUUUGGUUUACUGGGCAGCAAGAAAACACUUGCAAUGGUGCCCAUGGCAGAUUUUCUUCUGCUUCUGUGUUUUCACAUGAUUGUGAUACUUGUGGAAGAUGAAACUUUCACUGUUAGAGGCAUUUUUUAUUGUAUUUUUUUUUGUGUUUUUUUUUUUUAAAACAGUGUCUUCCAUCUAUUUCCACACCCAGCUGAAACUAUGCUGCAACACUUCAAAAUCAGAUGCUUGAAGUACAGUCGAAUUUGUACAUAAAAGUUUUGUAAGAACUGGGAUGGAAUAGAGUGGAAUGCCAGAAUGACUCAUUGUUUAAUGAAUAAGGCCCUAAGUGUUCUAUUGAUGCCAUUUAUAAAUCUCUAUAAAAUGUAUAGAAUUCAUGUCAUAACUGGAAUUCCAAGCACAGCAACCUUGUGAGCUAAAUUGUGAUGAUGAUGGGGUACUGCACAAAUUAAUAUGGAUUCUAACACGCUUCUGCUUGAAAGCUGCUCAGACAGUUAAAAAUAAGACAAUUUCAUUACACAGAUUCAAAGCCCCGAGCUCAGAAAUGCUGCUUUUGGAAAUUCCUGAGGAAGGAGGAUGUUUCUGUGUGUGUGAGGGUUAAAAAGCAUAACCUGUAAGGGAAGCAGAUGUCCUUCCAAUGAGGUGGAGGUAUCGAUUGCAAUGCACAGUGCAAUUGGAAAAUAAAAGUAUUAGCUGGUAUAGGGCAGCUCAAUAUUUGGAACUCUUCUGUUGGAAAUGAGCAGUGUGAGGCUGGAGCAGAGAUCUGAUCACACAUCCCUCUUUUUGACUUUUUUGUUCCUGCUUUUCCCUUCUCAGAGCUCAGCAGUUCAGAUGUGAAAGCAGGUGAAGUUCAGCAUUUCCAGUGGGAGUUUUUGAGCCAAGUUCUGUAUCCCCUCAGAGUUCAGCCAGAGACAAACUCAUAUAAUGUGUGGGGUUGGACUAGCAGGAUUUAACCUGGUGAGAAAAGCUUCCAGUCUAAACUGGAACAGAAAGGAAAUCUGAUGCUUGGAAAUUUCCCAUAGCAGAGGAAGAUCCAAAAUGCUUUAUUUGGGAACAAUCCCCCCCUUCCUUUUUAUUUUUUUCUUUUGUUCUGUAAAGAAUACAAAACUUUUGGUUGCCCUGACUCUGGUGCUCCAGGCAGUUCCACUUGCAUAGAUUUAAUUUAUAUAUUCAAAAUAUAAAAUGUAUUCUCCCCCAGCAAAUAAUCUGUACAGGCUAUAGGGUGAAAUUAGCCUCUUUGUGCAAUGUCAUGGCCCUGUUUCUUGGUUAAAUAAGUUCGAGAAUCAGGUUUCUGGGGCAGAUAUGGAAAGAAAUUGAAAUUCUUCUGUGUUUUAUGCAGUGGCUCCUCCUUCCCACCACCUGCACUCGAGACCCCUUGGAAGAGCCCUGUUGAGGAGCAGUGUGGGUGUAGCUAAUACUGAGUCUGUAAUUUCUGUUUUCCACCUGUGUUCUUACAGAAUCAUAGAGUGGUUUGGCUUGGAAGGGACCUCAAAGAUCAUCUGGAAGGUUCCCAUGUCAGGGCAGCCUCAUGUUGGGGUUUGGGGCUCUCUGUUGGGUCAGUGAGGAGAGAUUUGCAUCAGCUUUGACUCACCCUGCUGCCACUUCUCCUUCCUGGUGAUUUCCCUCAUCUCGUCCCUGUUCCAGGUGUGACACACAGAUUUCAUUCUGGCUCUCAUGAUGUAUUAACCAAAUGUCAGGCUGGAGUAAUUUAUAAUUAACAGUGAUGCAUUAAUGUCGUGCCCAGCGAUUGCAGUGUGAGAGUAUUUUUGUGAAUGGGGCAUUUUUUUUUUUAAUUCUUGCAACUGUUGAUGUCCAGAAUAGCCACAACCAGGCAGGCAAACGGUCAGGAAAGACAGAUUUAUUCUUUUUUGUUUUGUUUACUCAUUGACUUCUUGAUGGGUGAGUGGACCUUGUUAUUCCUAGAUGGAGUGGAGAUAUAACUCAAGCCAUGAAUGCAAGUUUUUAUGAACAUUUAAGGUCUUGCUCCUGUUAUAAAAUUGGAGUGGAUAAACCCCUGCUCAACACUAAUGUGAAAAUCCUCUGAGCACUGUCUAUAUUUUUUUGGGCCCAAAGACAGAGCACAGCAGCUGUUCUACCCAAUCUGAGAAGACAAAGAGUGGCUCAAAAAAGUGCCAGCAAAAAGGGUCCAAAGCAGGGAGAAAUCUGAAACUGCUACAGGGAAAUGUUCCCAUUAGAAAGGAAAACCAAAUGGAUGUUAAAAUGAAAGGGAAGACUGAGGAUCUCAUAGUUCCACAAAGUGAGUGCAAGGAGACGUGUAGUGAAAUUAAAUGGUGACAAAUUGAAAAUGUUUCAUAAAGCAAUUCUUUCCCACCAGUAUUUAAUUAGGAAAGGAGCCUAAUUGCUUUUAGAAGUUAAUGGGAAGUUUGCAAGCCUAGAACAGAUUAGAUACUUGUGUUUUUAAUAACCAUCCAUAGAAUUAUGGUAAUUCAUUAUGCAAACUUCAGAAUGGAGUUCAGAGUUUGUGUUUCAAGGUUUAGGAUGAGGUGCAGCACUUCAAGCCCAGGGAAGAACCAGUGGGAAGGACAGCUCUGGCCUGUCCCAAGCUGCUAAUACUUGUCACUAUUAGAGGAGGUAUGUUGGAGAAGGCUGGAUUCUGGCCCAGUCUAUAUAUGUCCCCUGCACAGGAUUAAGCACAUAGUUUGCCACUGGCAAAGAAAAGGGAAGGGUUGAUAGAUGUUUGUCCUUCACUUGGGUUCAUAUAUUGAAAAACUGCAAUACUGCAGUGUUAAUAAUAGUUAUUCAAAAGCAUGGAGCACUGAAUAACUCCUUUGCAGUGGGAAAGGAUUGAGUGUCCCCUGGCCAGAAAGGAAAGCAGAGGAAGGUGAGUGAAUUACCCCAGUGUGUUAUUGGAGGGCUGGGUACAAAAGCCAGGUCAGUUGGAUUGAGGGCUGCAUCUAAACAUAUGCUGUGACCUUUUCCCUCCCCAUUUCUUGGAACCCUGGUAUUGCCAGGAGUAAUAAAAGUCCCAGAAGCAGUGAGGGGGUCACACCUGGCUCUGCCUUCACACCCACUGUCCAGUGUGAGGUCAGAGCUGAUCUUCACUCCCAGAUGAUCCUGGCUGGAGAUCUGUGCUUGGUGCUGGAUUUGGGGUCACUGCAGCCCCUGCAGAGUGUAGGCAGGCCCUUUGUAUUCCUUGGCUUAAGUGAGAUUUAAGGAAUUGCUGUAAACAGCAGGUCAAACCCAUUCUGGGAUUAAUGGCGCUGGGGUGGGUUUAUUGAAAAGUUUGUUUUUCUUGUGUUUGAAGUGGCCUCUCAUCUCCUCUGACAACAAAUAGCAGUUGUGGCAUCAGAGAGUGGUUUGCAACAGUGGUGUUUGCAGCCUGUCAGCUGCCACAGCUUCCCCUUGGCUUCCCAUUUCCUUUCGUGAAGGAGGUUGUUGGAUUUGGAGGAUGGGAUUUUAAAAAAAGAAAGAGGAAGAGAAGGAAAAACAGGGAAGGAAAUGGGAAGGGAAGAAGGCAAGACUCGAUUGCUCUCUGCUACUGAUCUUGUGGUUUGAGUUGAUUUGAGAAAGUGCCCUUCCAAUGGCUUUUGAAAUGUGAAAGAAGAACUUAUUUUAUAAGAGCCCUAAGACAGUUCAGUCACGUGCUUCCCCUCAUUUGAAUGUGGGAAUAAUUAGUGAAUGAGAAGUUAAACUAGAGGAGGUGUUAGUGGACAAAAUACAAUCAGUGUCCACUACUUCCUGUGUUGGUAAUGAUGUAGUUACACUGUGAAUCAGGUCUGUGUGUAGGUUUUAGGAUGGAAGUUACUGAUCAGCAAUAUUGUAUUUAUUUUUAGGAAUGUAUAAUAUAAUAAUGUAUCAUUUAUGGUGUAUGAUAUUAUAAAUAUAUUUAUAAUUCCCUGUUUAUUUUGAUAUUUAGUUUACUACAGCAUCUAAUAAAUCCACAAGGGCCCUCUACCCAACCUGUGCCAGGGCCUCCCCACCCUCCCAGGGGAGAAUUUCUUCCCAAUAUCCCAUCUAAACCUCCCCUCUGUCCAUUGGAAGCCCUUGCUGGAGUAACAACAAGGACAGAACGAGUCUCUCCUUUCCCUGGGUGUCCGAGGGAGGUUUAGAAGCUCCAAGAAAGAUGGAAUUCACUGGGGAAGCUCCAAGUUUGUAAAGCAGCUCCCUCGCUGCCUGGUGCCACAUUGCAUCACAUCUGAACGAGGGGUUUGCAUUAUAUAUUAGCCCAGAUCUGUCCUCAGAUACCCUGCUCUGCAGAAGACCACUUUUAAAUCUUUAAUAGGGCAUUAGAGCAAUUUGCCUGUGAUUUGGUUUUAAGUGGGCAAGGAGAGUGGUGACAAACGAAGCAGGGAGGCCCUCGAAUUCUUUGAAUAUUCCAUGUUUUCCUGGAACUGUUGGGAAAAGGCUGCCAGAAAGGUCUUGGCAGGUUUUCUAGGUGGCUGGCCAAGUCUGAAGCAAACGUGGAUAGUUAACAGGCUAAUGCAGCUCUGGUUCUGAGUUCAUACGUAUAUAACAUACGUUUUUAUUUAAGAAAUCCCACCACAUGGAGGAGCAAAUGUAGUGCUAAUAUAUCUUCCUGAAAGAAAAGAGCGAGGGGGAAAAACACUGUCAUCUCAUAACAAUAAAAUGAAGGAUCUUUUGCCCUUGCUUUUUAGGGACUUGGGUUGUCAGUUGAAGGAGAGAAGUCGUAGGAAAUGAAACCAGGAGACAGGCAGUGGCUUUCCCACGAGGGCCCCACGUUAAUCAGGAAUGGCUUAUGGAGCAAUAGUUGGUGUCUGAGGAAAGAGGCAGAAGUUGUUGAAGGAAUGGAUUUCCGUUGCUAGAUUGGCUUUUUGUUGUUGCCACGCAAGUAAUUAAAAAUGGCAAUUAAGCAGGAAAGUGAUCGAAUGGUCACUGGGGACCUGCUGCUGCACUUGGGUCCACAUGGACAAUCCGUUGGAGAGGGAAGCAGGAGACCACCUGUGUGGGUCAGAUAAUGAGAAUUAGGGGCUGUUACUGAACCAUCCCAGGUGUGGAUUAUGUUGGGAAGGGUUUCUCUGGGCACCAGGGUUGGGAUCAUGGUUCUGUUUGGUCCCAGGGAAUUGGUGUUUACUCUGGUGGCUGGUGGAAGUUGUUCCUGGGAAACACGAGGUGGGAUUUCUUAGAGACACCAGGUGAAUUAGCUUUGCCAUUUUAAUAUUGUCUCCACUGCCAGGGAUUCUGGUUUGUGUACAGCUCCUGGGGCUUGUCCUGUUUUAUUAUUAAUGGGGCAAAGCCUCUACCCUUAGAGUGAAACAAUUUAUUUUUCUUUAUUAAAACAUCGGUGCAGACCCUGAAGUUGUGCCCUGGACUCCCUGUGGGGUCUUGGAUGAGUCAUUUAUUUUUCUUUGGUUUUAUUCCCUGCCUACAAAAUAGAGGUCCUUGUUCCUCAGAAGGAGUGUUGUAAAGACAGAGGAGCUGGUCUUGUGUGAGUUGUUCAGGGACAGUCAUGUUGGAAUUGCAAGUGAAGAAAUCUCUGUGAAGAAAUAUUUCUGAUGGACUGCCUUUGUGCUGACAGCCAUUCAUUGGUUCUACAGAGUUAAAACUGGCAAUGUCUGUAAUCUGACAGUAUUUUUGUAAAUAAAAUCAUCUUGAAAAGGUUUUUAUUACACUUGAGAAAUCCUAAUUAAUGUUAUUUAUUAUCAUAGCAAGUUAGGUAACCUGUUAGUGUUUUAUAUGAUCACAGUAAGUUAAGUAACCUGUUAAUGUUAUUUAUUAUCACAGUAAGUAGGAUAUUCAGUUUUUUCUGUUUGUUUUCACCAUUUUCUGUCUCAUUAAAGUGUUCUGCUGUCCUUUUGCAUUAUAGAAACCAGCAGCUCUGGGUGUAGGGUGCAGCAGAGCCUGCAGUGCAGCGUGAAGUGAUGCAGAAGUGUGGAUGGCACCGGGAGCUGCUGCGCCUGCUCCUGCUGCUAUUCCUGGCACGCAGGGACUGAGCAGCGUCUGAUGGGCCAAAUGUGAGUCCUCGGAGGCUGCUGUGUCUUCCUCGCCUCCUGACACUCAUUCUGUCUGUCACAUCCCCCUGGAUGCCUGGCUCUGUGCUGUUUAGUCUGCUCUCAGCACCCGUGGAGCAGCUGAGCAGGAGCUGCUGUGACGGGCUCGGGUCGAGGUGCCCAGGCCUGUUAUUGCUUUGACAGCAACACCUAAAUAAAUGUCUUGGCAUCCUGGAGUCACCCUGCGAGGAGAGACUCCCUGUCCUCAGUCUGAGUGCAUCAGGCAGGCAGGAGAGGGAGCAGGGAUGGAGAGGUUUGCCCAAGCCAGGGAGCACGUGGAGCGGCGGGGCUGGAACAGGGGCAGGGCUGUUGGAUCCUCCCCACUGUCAGCACGGCUGAUCUGGGAUUCCUCUGCCUGCUGCUGAGCCAGCUCCUGCCUCUCCCUGGGCAGGGAACAGUGCCUUGCACCCACCAACCAGCUGGAGGGAAUAUUUCGGUGUCCCACCUUUGCAGUGCCUAAGACAUGUAUUUAUUUAAUGCGAGAAAUAAACCUUCACGUGUUAAUUUAUUUAUUUUUUUUUAAAUUGUGUCAGCUGUAGUACUAGAAAACCAAGGAAACGUAUCUUUGUUUUAUCUUUUAAAUAAUUCCACCCUCUCUUUAAAAAGAAAUAAGUGCUGGUGAGAAGGGUGAAGUCUGACAAGAGGUCAGGGGAUGUUUAGGAAUUACUGUGCUUUGAGGUUCUUCAGGUCCCUGUAGUCUCUCAGGGCUCUUUACAAACAUUAAUUAAGGCUCAGAGGCCCAACUCCUUUCUUAGGUGCCAUAGUUAUGUUAUCAAUUUGUGUUGGUUUUUCUGUAGGGAAGAACUGAAAAUAGUCCACAGUGAAUUCCUGGAGGAGAUGGGAAAAGAUCUGUGGACUGCAGGCCCCCAAUCUGUGAUUUACAGUCUCUCCUUUACAGCUCAGAUUCCCAAAAUGUCCCCAACCUUUCUGCGUGUUUCUGAAGUUGAAUUUGGGUUCAGCAGUUUGGGCUCUAAUUGAACAUCCUCAACAGGGCAUCAGAUGGGGAUGACAAAAGCACUCUGGACACAGCAGCCUUCUUCCAAGGACCUCAGUCCCUCCCAGGACACGGUGAGCAUUGUUGUGGUGGUUCUGUAUUAUGGGCAAGCAAGGUAAGAAGUGAUUUUAUCACUGACUUGAUGUGCAAUUGGCCAGUGGUCUACAAAACAGUCAAGUUCAAAUUAGAAGCUUUUGGUUGUCGAGCUCCUCACUUUGUAGAAUGAUGUUCUGGAAAUAUCCAAGUCAGGAUGCCUUUGCCCAGUUUUGCUUUCCAUGGCUGUGCCCCACACUGUGAAUUUGUACCAUUCCUCACAUCAUUAGAAUCCUUUGUUUGUAUUAGUAAAUGCUUCUUACUCCUCUGAAGACAUUUUAUUAAUUUGUAAACUAUUCCCAUGUAUUCUGUUCCUAUGGCUGAGCUAUAAGUGUUAUUUUGGAGAUAUUUCCUAAGUAAUCUCUGUGUAGUUUGCCUAGAGUGAAGUUAUUGACUUGUCUCAGAAAGGCCUUAAGGUUUUAUAGUUAAUGCUUAAGUCCCUAAAGCUUCCUCCCUGGCUGAACAUUCCUUCUCCUAUGAAUUGCUAAUUCCAAUUGAUCUGAGAAAAAAAAAAAGACAGAAAUAGUUUGUAUUUUCUCUACUUUCUGCUCUAACUGUGCACCUACCAAGGUCUCUUCUUGCUUUGAUCCCAUCUCUGUGAUUAAAUUCAUUCUUCCUUUCUGUUUUCCAGCUUCUCUCUGCAAACUUCCUCUCACUCCAUUUCUGCAAGAACUUUUGCUGCAAACCAGGUCCCUGAGAGGAUCACUGAGGGGGAGGCCAAUUUAUUUCUAUUUAUUUAUAAAUGAGCUGCAGAGACUUGGCCCCUUUUUAAACAUAAGAACAAUUUUCGGGCCUCUUUCAGUUGUGGUUAUUUCACUCAAAAGGAAAAAAAAAACCAACCCCAAGCACAGAACAAUAGAGAAAUAUGAGGAGUUGUGGAAACCCCUCAAACUUUCUCUGUUUAGAUUUUACAUUCCUGGUGGUCACAGGGCCAGGUGAUGCUGCCAGUUGUGUUUUCUUCUGGAGUGCCUGGCUUGGAUGAUCCCAAAGCACCAAGCUGAGUUCAUUGCUGUGAUCAAACUAGAAUGAUACCUCUGGUGGGUUUUUUUUGGGUUUUUUUUGGCCCUCAAGGUUUUGGAAUUUGAGCCUUUGAAAAACAGGGUUACUGGACUCUAGUAAAUGAAGUGUUUGGAUGUCAGUGAUGAUUCAUAAAAGCAAUUAAAAAAAGGAAAGUGCUUUUCCUCUGAGCGGAAUGUCUUGGUUUGAAGAUGCCCUAAAAGUGUGUGCUGCUCUGUUUCCAGCACAACACUUCUUAUCCUGUGGUUCUGCUGAUCUAAACCAAAUUUUUUUCACACAGUCACAGAACAGUCGGGGUUGGAAGGGACCUCUGGGGUCACUCAGUCCAACCCCCCUGCCCAGGCAGGG